AGGGAUUUCAAGAGACCAAGGCCUGAAAGAUGCCGUAAGCUGAGGCACUGGGGUCAACAAUGUUCUAGCUUUGGUUUUGCCUUGUUCAAAUGCCAUUCGAGAAUGGCCACUCUCAGAAUAUUUUCUCCCGGGUGACUGAAAGAUGUUGAUUCCCAGAUGAGUGUUGUGCGAACCGUACUGUCCCCCACGCGCUGCCCAAAAAUCAUUCAAGGCCAUAGAAAUUUUUUAUCUUUAGCCCCCUGUAGCUUCCAUCUUUGAAUAUUGAAUCAACUGCAAUCAACUCGACGGUGGGAAUUUGGGGAUCCGGUGAUUGCAGGAGAAGGGGAAGGGAGGCUAG
RNAcentral lists this unclassified non-coding RNA (337 nucleotides) under Hevea brasiliensis (rubber tree). The record is from RNAcentral. Lineage: Eukaryota; Viridiplantae; Streptophyta; Magnoliopsida; Malpighiales; Euphorbiaceae.